Molecule: non-coding RNA, 245 nt
Organism: Pelobates cultripes (western spadefoot toad)
Lineage: Eukaryota; Metazoa; Chordata; Amphibia; Anura; Pelobatidae
Source: the annotation of a GenBank genome assembly
UCUCUUUCAUGAGACAAUUACUAUGUCAGUAUGUCACACUGCCUGAGAUGGAGUUUACCUGAAUAAGCUUGGAAACCAUCCAGGUCUAUUCAGUAUGUUAGGGGCAGAUAAAACUCCAUAUAUGCCUUAGUUCUGAUUCUCACAGGCUUACUGUCCUAGCAAACUACAAUAGUUCUGGUCUGGGGGUUGUUUCGGGUAGUGAAUGGCUGUUUGAAGUUGUUAAUGAUUUCACAAGAAGUCUCUGG